UCCCUGGUGGUCCAGUGGCUGACACUCCGCACUCCCAAUGCAGGAGGCCCGGGUUCGAUCCCUGGUCAGGGAA
Molecule: transfer RNA, 73 nt
Filed under: Bos taurus (domestic cattle)
Lineage: Eukaryota; Metazoa; Chordata; Mammalia; Artiodactyla; Bovidae
Also listed under: 3 other names
Rfam family: tRNA
About the family: Transfer RNA (tRNA) molecules are approximately 80 nucleotides in length. Their secondary structure includes four short double-helical elements and three loops (D, anti-codon, and T loops).
Source: Rfam by way of RNAcentral